This 477-nucleotide unclassified non-coding RNA is filed under the name uncultured fungus. Its description in RNAcentral is "partial internal transcribed spacer 1". Lineage: Eukaryota; Fungi. The record is from RNAcentral.
GGGUUGGGAUAAAAUAGAUGCACAUGUUAUAUUAACGCAAAUAUUACCAAUAAGCGGUUUUGGAUUUAUAAGCGAUUCUCAAAUUUAUAAGCAAUUUUCUAUCAUAGUGCUCGGAGAUAUUUCAAGUGGUAUUGCACUAUCAUCUUCUGGAAUUCUAGAAGCAACAGUUUUAAAUAUAAAGUUUGGUUUUUUUAUUUAUUUAUUUUAUCUUUUAAUUAUGCUUGCAUUGAUCCAGAAAUGUCUAAAUAGCUCGCUUAAUUUGUUGAAUUUUAUUGCUAUCGCGAUGUUGCCCGGAUUAUUAUAUUCAAUUCGGGGAGAGUUGGUUUUACCUUUUGCAUAUAUAAUAAAAUCACUACCCAUUAUAUUUCUAUCUCCUUUUUUAACUUCAACAAAUAAAUAAUUCGGACAAUAUUUAAUGCUUAGGGAAAUAUUUAAUGAUGGGAUAUAUUCACUCUUUAAUAAGAUUUGCUAUUUUGG